AGCGGCGGACGGGUGAGUAACACGUAGGCAACCUGCCCCUUGGACUGGGAUAACUACCGGAAACGGUAGCUAAUACCGGAUAAUUCCUCUUAGCUCCUGCUAAGAGGCUGAAAGGCGGAGCAAUCUGUCACCAAGGGAUGGGCCUGCGGCGCAUUAGCUAGUUGGUGGGGUAACGGCUCACCAAGGCGACGAUGCGUAGCCGACCUGAGAGGGUGAACGGCCACACUGGGACUGAGACACGGCCCAGACUCCUACGGGAGGCAGCAGUAGGGAAUCUUCCGCAAUGGGCGAAAGCCUGACGGAGCAACGCCGCGUGAGUGAUGAAGGUUUUCGGAUCGUAAAGCUCUGUUGCCAGGGAAGAACGUCUCCUAGAGUAACUGCUAAAAAAGUGACGGUACCUGAGAAGAAAGCCCCGGCUAACUACGUGCCAGCAGCCGCGGUAAUACGUAGGGGGCAAGCGUUGUCCGGAAUUAUUGGGCGUAAAGCGCGCGCAGGCGGCUGUUUAAGUCUGGUGUUUAAACCAUGGGCUCAACCUGUGGUCGCACUGGAAACUGGGCAGCUUGAGUGCAGAAGAGGAAAGUGGAAUUCCACGUGUAGCGGUGAAAUGCGUAGAGAUGUGGAGGAACACCAGUGGCGAAGGCGACUUUCUGGGCUGUAACUGACGCUGAGCGCGAAGCGUGGGGGAGCAAACAGAUUAGAUACCCUGGUAGUCCACGCCGUAACGAUGAGUGCUAGUGUUAGGGGUUUCGAUACCUGUGC
This 759-nucleotide ribosomal RNA is filed under the name Paenibacillus durus. Its description in RNAcentral is "bacterial SSU rRNA". It matches the Rfam family "Bacterial small subunit ribosomal RNA", at positions 94 to 844 of the family's 1533-position model. Lineage: Bacteria; Bacillati; Bacillota; Bacilli; Caryophanales; Paenibacillaceae. The record is from RNAcentral.